AUCAGUUUCAUUACCCGCAUUGAAGCCACCGUUAUGUGGAAAUGGGGUACUCGCGCAGGACUGUGAUGCCCGAGCUUCCUCGUUUCAAGUCGCCAUCUUUUAUACCGCACUUUACAUAAUUGCAAUAGGAAAUGGUGGAACCAAGCCUAACAUAUCAACACUGGGUGCUGAACAAUUCGACCGUUAUGAACCCAAAGAGAAGCUCCAAAAGUUAUCCUUCUUUAAUUGGUGGAUGUUUACCAUAUUCAUUGGAACACUUUUUGCAAACACGGUUGUCGUCUACGUUCAAGAUAAUGUUGGUUGGUCCCUCGGCUAUGGCCUUCCUACACUUGGAUUAGCCAUUUCAGUUUUAGUCUUCUUAGUUGGAACCCCUUUUUACAGACACAAGAUCCUGUCAGGAAGUCCUUUCACUCAUAUGGCUAUGGUUCUCGUUGCUGCUUUGCGAAAACGCAAAGUUAUCUUACCUGAUGAACCGAAAGAUCUUCACGAGUUGAGUCCCGAUGAAUAUACCAGUGCUCGGAAGUUCAGAAUUGACCACACACCAUCACUGAGUUCAGUUUUUCACAACCCUUUAGGAAAACUUGAUUUCAAAAUCACUGUUAUAAAAAAAGGUGCACUUUGUGUCCUUGAUCAAAGAGUCAAAGAGUGGACAGGAUUUACCAGGGAGGGUAAUCAGGCGGCCCAGGUAAAUCGGAUCGAGUUUGAUUUCGACGGCUGGGAAUGAUCGGUUAUGUUUCGUGUGGGUCGACAGAAGUAGGGCGGGGUGACAUAUUUGGUGCACAUAAAACGUUCUCUCUUUUUCUGCUGCUACGCUUAUUCUUCUAUCUCGCAGAAACUCUAGAUUUUUGAGAAUCUUUCGUUCAUACGGUCUGUGUGCUUGAUGUUUUCCGAAGAUUCAGGAGGCAAGGUUUAAUCAAAAAUACGAUGCAGAGGAUAGGAAUAGAAGCUAUAUCGAUUGGUCAUAGGUGCGAUGGGGGAUUUGGUAGAUGGUCAUAAUUGGUUUAUGUGGAAAAAGCUAAAGGGAGAUAGUGUAGAUCAUAAAGCUGCUUUUCCUCUAUUACCAUGCCUGAUCUCACCGCAUUAGCCUUAAUAGAAGCAGAGACCAUAAUGUGAUAUUGUGUUAAUAGUGUUCCAGGAUAUAUUCGAGUUUAUUGUGAUAUUGUUUUUGGCUUGAUUAUUUCAGGUACAGACUCUGCAGCAGGGCGAUGGAAUAUUACACCAUUAUCCAUAAUCAAGGAUGGAGACAACUUUUUGUUGGAUUUAACUCUUAACUCAAUGAAGGCUCUUCAAUUGCUGAUUAGGUAUUGACAAGCUUGCCAGGUGAAGCAUACCAAAAAGGUUGGCGUCUAUUCUGUAAUAGUCUGAGAAUUGAGUUGAAGAAGAGCGAAGUAAACAACUGUUGCACCCAGGGAAGAGAAAAAGCAUUGCAUUGUUCCCCUAAGAACAAUUGACAAUCUUACUUAGGGUAUUGUGAUCAAGUAUCUUUAUCAGAUUCUGCUUAUACUGCUGCUUACUGAGCAUGAAAGAGAACUUGGUGAAACAAAUGAAAAGAGUUAAAAACUGCAACAAAUUUGCAAGAGCUUCUGGAUAGUAUUGCAGAAGUUAUCUAUUCUUUUACUGUUUGUUCUGCUUGAGGUUAUUGAUGAUAUUUUAUUACCAAAGCAAGUUUUCAAUGCAUAGUCUAUCGGCAUA
Long non-coding RNA from Papaver somniferum (opium poppy), 1692 nucleotides. RefSeq lists it as uncharacterized. NCBI's taxonomy places the organism in Eukaryota, Viridiplantae, Streptophyta, Magnoliopsida, Ranunculales, Papaveraceae. The record is from RefSeq and is a predicted model, not a curated record. The transcript is spliced from 5 exons.